CGGGAUGUAGUGAAACGGCAUCAUGCUGGUUUUGGGUACCAGUGGUGGAGGUUCAAUUCCUCCCAUCCCGA
RNAcentral lists this transfer RNA (71 nucleotides) under Mycolicibacterium llatzerense. RNAcentral describes it as "Mycobacterium llatzerense tRNA". It matches the Rfam family "tRNA". From Rfam's summary of the family: Transfer RNA (tRNA) molecules are approximately 80 nucleotides in length. Their secondary structure includes four short double-helical elements and three loops (D, anti-codon, and T loops). The record is from Rfam by way of RNAcentral. Lineage: Bacteria; Bacillati; Actinomycetota; Actinomycetes; Mycobacteriales; Mycobacteriaceae.